Ostrea edulis (European flat oyster) is the source of this 5913-nucleotide long non-coding RNA. RefSeq lists it as uncharacterized. Lineage: Eukaryota; Metazoa; Mollusca; Bivalvia; Ostreida; Ostreidae. The transcript is spliced from 10 exons. The record is from RefSeq and is a predicted model, not a curated record.
AUAAGACUGUUAUUUACAUUUUUUACUUCAAUAAGCACUGUAAAAAGUCAUUAUAAAGUUGACAUUCAACACAGCUUCAUAUCACAGUUGAGUUCAUCAUGUGUGAGGGGUUACAUUAUAUAGAUAGUCAUAAUUUACAUGUUUUUUCAUGUAAUUUUUUCAUGUUACAUAUUUUACAUGUACUAUGUGCAUGUUAUCUAAAAAUGUCAAAUUGGCCACUUUUUCACUUUGUUUUCCAUUUGGUUAUAGGAAAAACACCAGAAUUGCCUAGCUACAGGGCGCCGCCAUUGUGGACACCCAAAGUUGUGCGGAGAAGAAAAGUUGACAGGAGAUCUGAUUGGUCAUUAACAGAAAAUCUUUGUGAUGGAAUUUAACAGUGAAAUAUAAGUGAUAAAAAUGACAGGUGACAUAACAGAAUAUGUAGAAAGAUACAGAAGUUAUAAGGGAAGAUCUGAGUGGAGAGGUGAUAUUUGGAUGGACAAUUUCAUUCAGUGCGGAUCUACACUAGUUGUAAACAGGCCAAAAUUUGAAGGAAAAAUGCAACGGCAAGCCAUAUAUUUUUUGGUGGAAUUUUGAAGGGGAGAUGAUGAACUUUGCUGAAUGGUAAAAAAGUAAAUGACCCUUGUCAUCCUGACUUUGUGCCCUCGGUAUUUCCUCAAAAUGAGGAUUCUGCCUUCAGCAAAUCCUCGAAGAAAGUUGAAAGGUACAAGCGUGCGUUGAAGCGACAUAUUGCAGAAACAGAGUCUGGAGGACAGAAGGUCACUGCCAGAAAGAAGCUUAAACUACUUGACCAGCAGUCACCUGAAUAUCAGAAAAGAACCUUGAGUGAACAUUCAUAUGUUAAAAACCUACAGGUAGAUAUUGACGAACACUCAGGCGAAGUGAAUUGUGAGUCUUGUGAUUAUUAUCCAAACAGUGUGUCUGUUCAAACCGAUAUCCUUCCCAUGAGACAACCUUUAGAGGAGUCAGAGAGGGAAAAGAUGUACGAGGAACUCGCAAACUUAAGGCAGGAGAGAGAUGAAGCUUUGGCGAGAGCAACUUCACUUGAGAAACUUGUUAGUGCAAGUACACUUAAUUCCAAUUCUGUGGAGGGAAACGACGAGGCAUGUAAAAUGAUAACUGGCAUUUCAUGGGGAGUAUUCCUUCAUCUUUUCAACUUUCUGUCAACAUUUAUGAAACACUCAGCAGCAAGUACCAUUCCACCCAAGGAACAGUUGUUUCUAACCUUGAUAAAACUGUGCCAUAAUUAUGUUCCCCAAACAAAGUUUGGGAACAUAUUGUUUUUACUCUGUUUCUUAUUAUUAGGGUCUUCCGAGCUUCCUUCGGAAGACCCUUCUGUUAUUCUACUGUUUCUUAUUAUAAUUUUAUUUUAUUUUUCCCGCUUUUUUUGUACAGGCGAUUUCUCGGAAACCUUUUAUCUGAUUAUUAUGAAACUUACAGUGUAGAUACAUUGCAUUAAGACCUAAAAACGAUGUUUUCAAAUUUUUGAUAUGUACCUCCGUUUACGAGUUAUUGCCCUUUAAUUGAAUUUCAGGGGGGUCUUUUGUCCAGCAGAAAUCUCAGGAACUACAAAUGAUAUCAGCAAGAAAAUUGGAGAAAAUGUAGGUAAGGUAUUGUAGUUGUGCAGGAAGUUAAAAUUAUUGGCUAAACUUUUUAACUUCAGAAGCUAUGUGAUGGCAAAUUUUGAGAAUUUUUUCCCCAUAGAUUUUUGUUGCUUUUUGUGUAAUAUCUUUUAAGCUGGUAUUAAUUUGGUAAGACAUAUAGAACAAAAGUUGUGUGUAAUUACAAGAGCUUUCGAAUGAAAUCAAGAAAAAGGGGCUGGCCCCUAUAUUUAGGGGUCAGCAGCUCAUAAACGUGUUUUUUUAAUACUUAAAAAUGUUGACAUAUAUUGAAAAAGUUUGAAUGAAAUAAUCUUUAGGAUAUCAAAUCUUGUCAUUUGGUAUGAAAGAAACAAGCUUUGUGCUAUAUUUAUUUCUAUUUCAUAAAAGAAAUGUGUGAGAAUCGUACAGGAACAAGUUGUCUGUACAAGCCCGCCAAGCUGUUUCGGGGCCUCAUGCUUGUGUAGUGCUUAAAUAGUUGAUUUAGAUACAUUGUUUUGAUUCGACUUCUCUUUUUUAAUUUAUUUAAAUAAUUAACAAAAUGCAAUGUUUUUACACGAUGAACUGUUAAACAUCAUGUAUGUAUACAUGUUAUCAGUGCAGAGAAAGUCUUUACGGGGCCUCCUGGAUGUAAACAUUCACGAGAGGCAUUGUGGGAAGGCCAGAGAAUGGCGAAAUCAAAUUGUGAUGUGUACAUUUUAUCACCGUAUGUAGGUCUACAUGUAUAUUCAUUGUACAGCUACGAGCACAUGAACUGCCCUCGAUUACGCACUUGGAGCAUUAGUCAAUACUAACGAAGGAUAUAUUGUUGUCUGAAUCGUUUACCAUGUUUCGACUACGAGAAAAUUUUGACGGUCAUAUUUCCAAUGGAUUGAUAAACACAUAAAGAUACAGUGCAGAUAUAUUUAUAAACUGUCCCCAGUGAUAUUGUAACUAGUAAGGAAAAGUUAAUGGUGACACUUUAAUGUGUGAUGGAAUUGGACGUUGCUAAAAAGGUUAGAACGUUUUACUUAUCUAAAAUCCACACAGACAGAUAGGGUGGUAUUAAAAUGUCAGUAUUUUGCGUACACGCACACUGAUUUUUAUUUAAUGUCGAUACUGUGUUCAUAAGCUUUCUAAUGACAUUCUCAAAUUCCCCAUGAUUUAGCUUUUACAUUAUAAAUACUUGUAAUUUUACUAUUUUUUUUAAAGUUUGUUUUUAGUGGGAGAGGUGUAUUUGUUUGUUAAAAUUCCCUCGUGAAAUUUUCAUUCAUGGACUCCACCAAUGCUAUUAGGAGAGUGCAAAUUUAGAUUUAUUCUCUGCUGUCCUAGGUUCACUGAAAGGGGAGAUCUUUUUUGCGUGACAUGAGACCUUGUUUAUAUGCUCGGUCUUCAUUCACUCAAUGACAAAAUUCAUUCGCAUUAUAAGGAGUAGUCCGAAAUAUCUGACGUUUUCCAGGCUUUUUCCCGAUUUUGAUAUUUAAUGUGCAAUUUAUUUAAAUAAUUAACAAAAUGCAAUGUUUUUACACGAUGAAAUGUUAAACAUCAUGUAUGUAUGUAUGUUAUCUCGGACUAUGUAAGGAGUCCCUUAUUUCAUGACUCUUGAAAGAUACUGUCUAACCACUUUACCACUUUUGAAUGAAGAUAAAAGAAUUUGUUACAAAUCCUUAUUAGUCUUUUGUCUGUCAUUCUUUAAACAAAAUAUGCAAAAGUUCAACAAUACACAGGCUAGAAUACUAUAAAUAUUGUUUAUGUUGAAUGGUUACUAAGUCGCUUUGUCCCAAAACGGAAAUGCCCCAUGCACAAACUUUCCCAAAAAAAUUUUCAGGGGCAACCAAGUUCAUGUAGUAUUGGCCCCCCCCCCCCCCCCUCCCCCAAUUUUAUUCAUAAGUGCCCAUAAUACAUAUUCUGAGCACUCCAAAUCUGUGAUACCUCUGACUCUAACCCCGCACAUGUCACAAUAUAAAAGCAGGGGUUAGAGUUAGAGGUAUGUUGGAUUAGAGCACCCCAAAACUUAAACAAGCAUAUUCUGGAAUGAAUACAUGAGUUGCAAACAUUUGUUUACAAAAUUAUAUCAUAUGGAUAAAUAUGUUUGUCAAGAGAAAAAUUUUUAACCUUGGUAUAGUGUUGAGUCACAAAGUUUAAUGUUUAAAAAAAGGUGACCAUAAUUACCAAAAAAAAAAGUUUUCUAAGCCAUUAUUACCUUUCUCAAAUGCCAUAAAUGUUGAAAUAUUUUAUCUUUAAUGAUUUAUAAGCUAGCCUCUAGAGUUAAAUUAUUCUCUCAGUCAUAAAUGCACACGUCAUGCUGCCAAAGUUUACAAUUAAUAUACACUUAAAGGUCUUAUGCAAGGAAAUAGCCAAUCAAAAUGAUUUAGUCAAUUGUAGUUCUAUAUGUAACGGUUUGGGCCGUGGAUAUUGGCCUGGGUAGCUCAGUCAGUAGAGCACCUGACUAGUGAUGCAGGGGUCCCGGGUUCGAUUCCCUGUCCUGCCAUACAUUUUCUCAUUUCCUGUUACAGAUUUGGUGCCGUUGACCACCCCUGGACUUGGAGGUGAAAGUCCUCCCAGGGGCAAAUAAGAACUUGGGUUGCAUCUUCGAGGGCGAAGACAAUUUAAGGAGGGAGGAAUGUAAUGGUUCUGGCCGUGGAUAUCGGCCUGGGUAGCUCAGUCGGUAGAGCACCUGACUAGUGAUCCCGGUGCGCAUGAUGCAACUUCCUGGAUGGUGUGUAGUCUGUUUGUCAACAUGUGAAACCCACGUGUAUUUUGAGGAGUAGCCUCCCCUGUUAAAGAUCAAUAAUGGUGGAUAAACAAUGCAGGAUGCUUUCAUGUCAUCAACAGAGAGUUUUGACACCCGUAUACCCGUAUUUCUACCAAUCACCUCUGUAACCUUUGUUGUGUUCAUCAGACAGAUGAUGGACCACUCUACUUCCUUUUACAACAGGUGCCCCUACAGAUUCACAAAGUUCCAAUGUUGAUUUUCCAUGACCCCCAUUCAUUCGCGACAGGAAAAGGAAUGACGUUGACAGGAUUUCCUGCUCUGUACUUGGUAGCAGCUUAUGAUAGAACGGACAGCAGUAGACAUAGCCCGCUCUAGUGGACGGUCAUCACCCUGCCUGCCUUAUUUUCUUCAUGCUGGUUUUAUUCACAUCUGUGAUCUGUGAUAAUUUUUUCCACUUUGUUGCAGGUCUGCUGCAUGUUGGUAGCUGAUGCUGGUUCAAUAUUUGCGCCAAGAAGCAUACCACGCAUACCCUCUGUAGUAAGGCUGGUACCCAUGUGACCGACAGCCAUAGCCACAUUUAGCUGUGCAGCUCUGCGUCCCCUUCUGGAUCUCCCCACCUCUUCAUACAGCUUUUCACGGCGACUUGUAUAGUGGCACUUCUUACAUCGGAUGGAAAGGAUCCAUGCCAGGCCUCGUUUUUCCUUCCCAUGCUGGUUCCAGUCCAGUGAACCAUUACAGUCUGGAAACUUCUAGCUGCCUGGUCUUCUAAGAGAAACUCCAUUCUUUGAUGACUGAUGGAAAAGCCUCAUCACUCCCUACUGCUAAAGAACCACUUAUCUUAAUCACCAGCCAUUUAUCAGUGAUCACUGUUAUCAAAGCUCCAUGGUGCGCAUGAUGCAACUUCCUGGAUGUUUGUCAACAUGUGAAACCCACGUGUAUUUUGAGGUGCGACAGUAUGUCUCCAGGUUAAGUGAUUGUGUAGAUUGAUUCCCAGCAUAACGAUGGUUUGCCAAAAGAGCAUAUGAAUAGAAAAUUGGUGAUGCUUAAAAAUAUCAGCAGAAUACAGAAAUUAAGAGACACAGAUGGACAAAAACCCUCUAUCUAAUAUAAUUUACAUAUUAGGCCUAUACAACUAGAACAUGUAACAAGUGAAAUUUAAAUGUAUGCAUAUAUUUACUGUAAAUGUAUUAUUUUCAGCGUGUACGAUAUUUGGCGGGAAUUGAUUUUUGAACAAGUUAGCGUGAAUUUAAUUUAGCGAAUUCCUUUUUGUUUUUUUAUUUAUGUGUAAAGUGUAAGACAUUUAGCGUUGUAUUUGAAUGAGCAGAAGUUGCUUUCCGCCAAAGGCGCUAAAAAGAAUACACAACCAAAUGUAAUACGUUUACAGUAUUAGAGCUGUUUUAAUGUAUACAAUUGUGUAUACAUAGUUGCUUGUUUGUUGACUCAGUGUAUAGAACAUGUACUACUAUAAUGUACAUCUUUCAUGUGUUAUUUCAAUGUGAUGUUGAAUCACAUUUAAAAUACAGCAAAGCUUUUACAGCUGAAUCCUGUUGUUGUUGUUUUUUUAAUUAUGUACAGUUUUGAUUCCCAACAGAUCAAAAAAUAAACAUAGAGAAUUCUUCA